RNAcentral lists this ribosomal RNA (393 nucleotides) under uncultured bacterium. Its description in RNAcentral is "partial 16S ribosomal RNA". It matches the Rfam family "Bacterial small subunit ribosomal RNA", at positions 523 to 918 of the family's 1533-position model. The record is from RNAcentral.
AUACGUAGGGGGCGAGCGUUGUCCGGAAUGACUGGGCGUAAAGGGCGUGUAGGCGGCGCUGUAAGUCUGGAGUGAAAGUCCCGUUUUCAAGGCGGGAACUGCUUUGGAUACUGCAGAGCUUGGGUGCGGAAGAGGGAAGGGGAAUCCCCAGGGUUGCGGUGAAAUGCGUAGAUAUUACUCAGAACACCGAUUGCGAAGGCAUCUCACGAAUCCGUCAUUGACGCUGAGGCACGAAAGCGUGGGGAUCAAACAGGAUUAGAUACCCUGGUAGUCCACGCAGUAAACGAUGAUGACUAACCGUCGGCGAUACACAGUCGGUGGCCAAGCGAAAGCGAUAAGUCAUCCACCUGGGGAGUACGUUCGCAAGAAUGAAACUCAAAGGAAUUGACGGGG